GCGAUUAAUUAUUUUUCUACCGCGUGGGGUGGUUUGAAGGGGAGCCCGACCUGCUCCCAUCACCCAGCACAGCCCCUUCCUGCAGAGCAGAACCGGGACGGACGGACUGACGGACGAUGGAGGGAGCGACGAGCAGAGCUGAGCGGUGGGUUUUGGCACCAAUGAGGAAAAAACUGCAAUAAUCCAUCUGAUAUCACAAGAGCUGGAGUCCUUUGUAGCUCUUCCAUUAGGAUUGAGGUCAACGUGAGCCUUCAUUGGUCCCAAAUCCACCAUCAAUGAGCAUCAGACACCAUGGACAGGGCCCAAAUCCACCCCCAGCUCAGCUCAGGACCCGGUGCUGCUCCAUCCUCAACUUGGAGCCUCCGGUUGGCAUCACCAGUUCUUAUUUUUCUUUAAAAGAAGCCAAUAUACAGAAUACAAAGCACAAUAUUUACAACCGGACGGUCAACAGAUCCCGCACCCAUCAGUAGUCUGUUUUAAUGUGUAUAAAAAAAUACCCCUCUUACAACGGCCUAAAGAGGGACUGACAUGAAGUGACACCAACGUGGGAAGAGAUUCAUUCAUCGACACCUUCCACUCCAAUUAAAUAAUAAAUAAUUGGGGUGUUUUGUGGCAGAAUCGAGGCUACGUAGGCUUGAGUGAGGGCUAAAAUGUGUUUGUUUUAAGCAUUAUUUCCUCUACAGAGACCCAACCCAGAACUGGGUGAUCUUUGAGGUCCCUUCCGACCCAACCUGUGGUCCUAUGGAAUUAAAUAGGAGGAGAAGCAUCACGUACCCAUUUCUGCCAACACAAUUUGUUGCUUCUGCAAAAGAGAAGCUCGGAACGGCUCCCAUGAACAUGGAAGGGUCUUAAGACACAGAACUAUACACAAAAAACAGACAACGAGAAAUAAUCAAGUGUUUCUUCACUACUCUGCCAAAGACUUGGGGUCAAGCCUCCACCAAUGGGUGGGGAAGGACUGAAGUAAGAAUUUGGCAGGCAGUUAUUGUCUUGUUCACCUCUACCACCAGCAUCAUUAACACCAGGAUACAGUGCAGCAAACUCAAACUGACCGAAGUCACCUUGUAUUAAAAGCUUAAAAUCGAGCAUUUUGGGUCCCCCUGCAACCCAAGUGUAUAAGAAUCAAAACCCAAAAAUCCUGAAGCAAAACGUGGAAAAUCCUCAUUGGGGUGUUAUUACACCAUGGAAGCACGGCAUGGAAAAGUCUGGUCAACCCCAUUGGUCGACCAACUGUGAUUUAACGUUGACCACAGCAUUUUAAUUGCUUUAAAUAUCACCUCUAAAGUAAAGCACUCACAAAUGUGCAACACAGCUGGAGACUUCCCCGUACUGCAGUUCCAGCACAAACAUUCUCCCAGCUAUUCCCAGAGCCAAAGGAAACAACAAGCAAAGAGCUGCUCCACAUAAGGCUGCGCACAGCCAACCGUCGCCACUCUUUGGACCAUGACCUCAGCUUGUGUUUUUGCUGGCAGCAAUGGUGAUGGAAAAACACCUCGUCUUGGGUGGAAAGAGCUUUAGAUCUACAGCCAGGCUCUAUUUAAGUCUACAGCCAGGCACCGUUUAGAUCCACUCUGUUUCAUUCAUUUCCAUUUACACUGGCGUAGACCAACACAACGCGUCUUCCAAGCGGGCAGGACACGAAGCCAAGGUUGGGGCAGUACUAAAGCAGCAGUGAUUCUACAGGUUGAGGCUGUCAGCCUGCUUGUCUUCCCUACCUCUGAGGAAGCGAUGGGGAGCGCAUCACAGCCGUACCCAUCCCAUUGUCCCACAUCAUCAAUGGGAAACAGCCAGAGAUUUUGGAGUCCCAUCAAAGCCGAAGAUACUUCAUGGGGGAACAGCUGCAUUUGCCAACAGAACUCUGUUUGCACUUUAAAAACCUCUCAUAAAAAUAGAAUAUAUACUGUGUGGUUUUGGUUUUGUUUUGUUUUUUAUAUAUAAAUAAUUACAUAUUUAGCUUAGUUAAAUUUCAUUGCCCCUCCCACCCCACCCCCUCCCCAUUUUUCUGUAAUACAUUUGUUUUUACGUUGCCUGAACUAAUACAACAAUGAUUACACCAUUGAGAAAGUGUUUGUAUCACAUCACUCUUUGGACAUUUCUGAACGACAUGCAUCCACAAAAGCAACCGCCAUUGUUUACCGAAAACGUUAUUAAUUGUCCAUAUUAUUUUUGUACAAACCCAUUUUAGGAACUGGACACAUUAUUACACUGCUAACAAGCAAAAAAAUUUGCUUCCUUGAAACCCCCUUUUAUAAAAUGAGAGACAAUGAGGAGGAUUUUUCUGAUUAUCGGUCUAAAAAAGUGUCAAUAUGACACCGCAUUAUGAGUAGUAAACAAAAAUAAAGUAUUUACAGCUUUACAAAGGAAAGGAAAAGAAAGAGGUCAUCAAAAUCAUUUUCCAGCAUUUUCACCAUGUUUUUUUUUUUUCUGGCAAGCUUUUCAUCUGGUUGCUACAGAGUGGUUCAACACAAACAGAACAGGGCCCGCUGUUGGCAUCACUUGAUGCCAAACCAACCGAAGACCUCCAAGGGAAACUAUCAAGGACCAACCUUGGUCAUAUCCAAAAGAUUGACCUCUCUGAGACCUACGUGAAAAUAAAACCCCAAUCCCAAGUAUGAAAACACCUCUUUGUUGUGUUUUUUUCUCUCCCCUAAAAAAUGGAUUACAUAUGGUUAUAAGAAAGACACCAACAAGCAUGGUAGCUUCCCAUCACACACAUCACCACCGUACACGUUAUUUCUAUACUGUCUACUACAGACCCACAUCCCCUACACUUACCAAAAAAUACAACCCUAUGACUCCUCUACAACCCUAUGACUCCUCAUAAGUAUGGCUACGAGAUAAGCUGUAGGUUACAGCUCGAUUCCUGCUUCCUCACUUGGCUCCCUCUGUCAAACUGAGGAUGUUCUUUCCCAUCUCACCACACCAGCUCCAAGUUUCAAGACCACUCAGCCUUUUUCUUACUACGUCACCAAGUUUUAUAGCAGCUAAGCCAGA
This is a long non-coding RNA of Coturnix japonica (Japanese quail), 2994 nucleotides long. RefSeq lists it as uncharacterized. NCBI's taxonomy places the organism in Eukaryota, Metazoa, Chordata, Aves, Galliformes, Phasianidae. The record is from RefSeq and is a predicted model, not a curated record.